Molecule: ribosomal RNA, 494 nt
Filed under: uncultured bacterium
Lineage: Bacteria
Description: bacterial SSU rRNA
Rfam family: Bacterial small subunit ribosomal RNA
Source: RNAcentral
GAUGAACGCUAGCGGCAGGCCUAACACAUGCAAGUCGAGGGGCAUCAUGGCGUAGCAAUACGCUGAUGGCGACCGGCGCACGGGUGCGUAACGCGUAUGGAACCUACCCACCGCAGGGGGAUAACCCGCCGAAAGGCGGACUAAUACCCCAUGGUUCCCCGACCCUGCCUGGGGUUGGGGGUAAAGCCUACGGGCGGCGGUGGAUGGCCCUGCGUGCCAUUAGCUGGCUGGUGGGGUAACGGCCCACCAGGGCAACGAUGGCUAGGGGGUCUGAGAGGAUGGUCCCCCACACUGGUACUGAGACACGGACCAGACUCCUACGGGAGGCAGCAGUGGGGAAUAUUGCACAAUGGGCGAAAGCCUGAUGCAGCGACGCCGCGUGAGGGAGACGGUCUUCGGAUUGUAAACCUCUGUCUUCGGUGACGACCAAAGACGGUAGCCGAGGAGGAAGCCACGGCUAACUACGUGCCAGCAGCCGCGGUAAACCGAGAGUA